UGUGUGUGUGUGUGUGUGUGUGUGUGUGUUUUCAGAAUUUUCAGAACAAAAAUAGGUUUAAUCACUAUACUUGUGUAAACGACAAAAAAAAUAACACAAAUAAUAUUAAAAUACACUUCAUGCGUCUUUCUCCCAUCGACGAUUGAACUAAAAACGCAUUUGGAGAUUAUUUAUGGCACUUUGAAUACACACUUCAUUUCCAUUCCGAAGCACCUCACGUUUUGUUUGGCCUAACCACGUUCGGUUACUUCAUUAACGCAGCCAGCGACCGAGAACCGUAAUUCUUUUAGAAACUAUUGUAAAUGAAAACUGCCCUGAACACUGUACAAAGAGAAAACAGAGUAAGGAAAAAAAAAGCAGUAAGGUGGUGGGUGGAGUGAUAGACGAAAAAAAAUGAAAACACUUCCUCCACCCCUCCCUCACUAUCCUCAGAUGAACUUGUCACGUUACUUGAUGAUUUUUUUUUCUGGCCUGCCCUCUCUACUUCCUGCUAUUUUUGUGCUGCCUCCCUCUCUCCCUCUUUCUUUCUGUGUGUCGGUGUGGUAACCAGGAACAAAGUCACAGACCCUUUAUGGAGAAAAAUAUUUUGGUAAUCACCUGCAAUUAUGAAGCAAUAACACCACAAACAGCAUCACAUUAUGAAGAAAAAGAGCCUUGUGGAUAGCAGCCGAACCCUGGGACAUCCAGCUGUAAUUACGACUGCCUGACACUAACCAGAGCAGAUUUGAUGAAGAAACGUUUUGCUUCUGUCCCUAAAGCUGAGAUUAACCGGCCGUCUUCUGAAGACACUUUGUGCUCCUCUGCGUCCUGAAGCUGUGCUCCUGUCAAGCUGGAGAUCUGUGUCUCCACGAGCUGAGGUAGUAGGUUGUAUAGUUUGUGGGAAGGAUCUCAUCCUAUUCAGGUGAUAACUAUACAGUCUAUUGCCUUCCUCGAGAGACACGACGAACGAGAGAGAAAACAAAUCAUUUCAACAACGAGAUUGUUAAAGUGUCAUACUGUUUUUCUUAUAGUUGUUAUCAUGCUCUGUUUAUUCUGCAGGGUUACUUUCAUUUUUUAUU
This is a long non-coding RNA of Puntigrus tetrazona (Sumatra barb), 1058 nucleotides long. RefSeq lists it as uncharacterized. NCBI's taxonomy places the organism in Eukaryota, Metazoa, Chordata, Actinopteri, Cypriniformes, Cyprinidae. The record is from RefSeq and is a predicted model, not a curated record. The transcript has 3 exons.